Molecule: long non-coding RNA, 853 nt
Filed under: Junco hyemalis (dark-eyed junco)
Lineage: Eukaryota; Metazoa; Chordata; Aves; Passeriformes; Passerellidae
Description: lncRNA (ENSJHYG00000009711.1)
Source: RNAcentral
AUGCCAGUGUUUGCCCUUCUGAUUAAAUCACUACCCUUCAAUGCAAUAGCUGCUUUGCUCCACAGGGAAAAGUGUGUCCAUCACAUGCCACUCCAAGCUGCAGCUGAGAAGAAAGGCACUGAACUACACAAAUGUGUUGUUAUCUUUGAGAAGGCUGUGAAUAGAGACACAGGAUAUUUUGCCAAAUGGUGCUUCUGGAGAAGUCUCCAGCUGUUGGCAGCAGGCCUUCAAGGCUGCUUGAAGAAGCCUGAAUGGAGGCUACCACAUUUACCAUGAUCAGCUGCAUGGAUAUGCCACAUGAACACGAUGCAUUUAAUUGUCCCUUGGACUGUGUAUUUAAAGACAAAUUAAAAUAGACUCUUGUUUGGCAUCAGUACUGAGCUCCACUAUACGCAUGGAUUUGUGCAACUCCAAUUGCAGACUGAUGAGACUCCACCUUGUUAAGAGGAACUGGAAAUUAGGGUCAUGAUGCAAGAACUCCUGUACAUUGCCUACCAGAAAAGCUUCUCUCUAACCCCAAACUAAAGUGCUAUUAUAACCCUGACAAGUUUUCUGUUUAGCUUAGGGCUCAUUUGCUACGUCAGUGCACAUAGACAUAACACUGUGUUUGCCCUCAUCUAGACCAGCCUACAAGCUACAGUGUGCACACCAUUACAGAAAAUCAAGCAAAAUAUGUAUUGCUGUUUACAGGGAAGAGAAACCCCAGAAUCCAGCAAAAAAGCAGUGUCAGCAAGAGGUUUGAAGUCCAGUAUGUCACAAAAAUAUGAUGUUUAACCUGAGCCAUGUAAACAAGUUCAGUUUCCUUACUGUGCAUUUUGAAAUCAGUACCAAAUAAAAGGAGUAUAUGAAAACA